Long non-coding RNA from Daphnia magna, 668 nucleotides. RefSeq lists it as uncharacterized. The record is from RefSeq and is a predicted model, not a curated record. Lineage: Eukaryota; Metazoa; Arthropoda; Branchiopoda; Diplostraca; Daphniidae. The transcript is spliced from 2 exons.
AAAAGCCCCAAACGACAAACUGAUCGUUAGUCGAUUUUGUAUGCAGGGGAAGGGCUUCCCUUCCCUUUUCUCAAGGGUUAAUGUCAGCUCUUUAUUGAAGCCUCUGCAGAAUAUUUUAAUAAUGCGGGAAAUUGAAACAACAUAUCAUCACCCCGGUAAAUAAAGAAAAAAAAAAAAGGCAAAGAAAAGACAUGUCUAUGUAUAUAUAUAUUAGAGGAGGAGAGGGUUAAACUGAGAGAACAAUAAAAAUCAUCCACAAAAAACGUCAGUCUUUUCCGAGAUUUGAGGAAAAACACGUAAGAAGAAAAAAAAAUUAUACAUAUUCAUAGUGUAUGUAUAUAUUUGUGUGUCUAUGUGUGAUGAGAGAACCGGUUUUUGUUGCUUUUUUUCGUUUUAUACUCAACUUAAACAACGACAGGAGGGGGCAAUACAAACGGUCUGGUAUAUCAGUUUGCAAAGUUUUUUUUUUCUCGUUUUUAAAUCUUCCUUUUGUAAAAGCUAGCCGACAUUCAGCUGAUGAUUAUGAAUUUGUUUUUUGUUGUGAAACCAGAAACAGGUUUCACUAUUUGUUUGCUUUUUCUUAUAAACUCACGGAAACACAAAAUGGAGAUUACACACACAGACACACAUACUGGUACUUAAUAAUAAUAAUAAUAAUAAUAAUAAUA